GAUGAACGCUGGCGGCGUGCUUAACACAUGCAAGUCGAACGGAAAGGCUCCUGCUUGCAGGGGUACUCGAGUGGCGAACGGGUGAGUAACACGUGGGUGAUCUGCCCUGCACUUCGGGAUAAGCCUGGGAAACUGGGUCUAAUACCGGAUAGGACGAUGGUUUGGAUGCCAUUGUGGAAAGUUUUUCGGUGUGGGAUGAGCUCGCGGCCUAUCAGCUUGUUGGUGGGGUAAUGGCCUACCAAGGCGUCGACGGGUAGCCGGCCUGAGAGGGUGUACGGCCACAUGGGGACGGGGAUACGCCCCAGCCCCCAAGGGGGGGCAACGGGGGGGAAUUUGGCACAAGGGGCGCAAGCCGAAUGCAGCGCCGCCGGGGGGGGGAGGACGGCCUUCGGGUUGAAAACCCCUUUCGCUGGGGACGAAGCGAAAGGGACGGUACCGGGAGAAGAAGCCCCGGUAAACUACGU
RNAcentral lists this ribosomal RNA (464 nucleotides) under uncultured bacterium. RNAcentral's name for it is "partial 16S ribosomal RNA". It matches the Rfam family "Bacterial small subunit ribosomal RNA", at positions 28 to 506 of the family's 1533-position model. The record is from RNAcentral.